Molecule: long non-coding RNA, 482 nt
Filed under: Musa acuminata (dwarf banana)
Lineage: Eukaryota; Viridiplantae; Streptophyta; Magnoliopsida; Zingiberales; Musaceae
Description: long non-coding RNA (MACU_LNC008082)
Source: RNAcentral
GCUAAGUAGACUCACUCUCCUAAGGGGUGUGGGCGAAGGCGCGGAUCAGUCCCCUAACAAGUCAGAUUUGAUGGAAGGAAAGGCGGACUACCCUUUGGUGCAAGCUAAGAGAGAGGAAUGUCAGGAACGCUACUUAGAAUUGGAGUUAUAGGAGUCGCUUUGCGAUCGAGAGACAAGGGAAUUAGAAUAGGAAUGUAGUCGAGGCAGCCUCAAAGCAAGGUAUAUUAGAUUUGGAAGCAAGUAAGGACAGACUCACUAUCAAUAAUAUAAGAGUAACAAAGUUCAGGUCCUGAUCACUAGAUAAAGAAUCAAAAGCACAGGUAAGAUAAUGAAAAAGCAGAGCAUAGCAAUCAAAGACAGGGGACAUAGACUAGUCAGAAGUAAAGUCAGAACAAUAGCAAGUGAAGGCAGGCAUAGGGGCAUGAUAGUCAGCUUCGAGGUCAGUAGCGAAAGUCUAGCUAUCAGUGAUUUCCGCCUUAUCA